ACGCAUGCAAGUCGAGGGGAAACGACAUCGAAAGCUUGCUUUUGAUGGGCGUCGACCGGCGCACGGGUGAGUAACGCGUAUCCAACCUGCCCACCACUUGGGGAUAACCUUGCGAAAGUAAGACUAAUACCCAAUGACGUCUCUAGAAGACAUCUGAAAGAGAUUAAAGAUUUAUCGGUGAUGGAUGGGGAUGCGUCUGAUCAGCUUGUUGGCGGGGUAACGGCCCACCAAGGCGACGAUCAGUAGGGGUUCUGAGAGGAAGGUCCCCCACAUUGGAACUGAGACACGGUCCAAACUCCUACGGGAGGCAGCAGUGAGGAAUAUUGGUCAAUGGGCGAGAGCCUGAACCAGCCAAGUAGCGUGCAGGAUGACGGCCCUAUGGGUUGUAAACUGCUUUUAUAAGGGAAUAAAGUGAGUCUCGUGAGACUUUUUGCAUGUACCUUAUGAAUAAGGACCGGCUAAUUCCGUGCCAGCAGCCGCGGUAAUACGGAAGGUCCGGGCGUUAUCCGGAUUUAUUGGGUUUAAAGGGAGCGUAGGCCGGAGAUUAAGCGUGUUGUGAAAUGUAGACGCUCAACGUCUGCACUGCAGCGCGAACUGGUUUCCUUGAGUACGCACAAAGUGGGCGGAAUUCGUGGUGUAGCGGUGAAAUGCUUAGAUAUCACGAAGAACUCCGAUUGCGAAGGCAGCUCACUGGAGCGCAACUGACGCUGAAGCUCGAAAGUGCGGGUAUCGAACAGGAUUAGAUACCCUGGUAGUCCGCACGGUAAACGAUGGAUGCCCGCUGUUGGUCUGAAUAGGUCAGCGGCCAAGCGAAAGCAUUAAGCAUCCCACCUGGGGAGUACGCCGGCAACGGUGAAACUCAAAGGAAUUGACGGGGGCCCGCACAAGCGGAGGAACAUGUGGUUUAAUUCGAUGAUACGCGAGG
Molecule: ribosomal RNA, 925 nt
Filed under: uncultured bacterium
Lineage: Bacteria
Description: bacterial SSU rRNA
Rfam family: Bacterial small subunit ribosomal RNA
Source: RNAcentral